Long non-coding RNA from Anguilla rostrata (American eel), 251 nucleotides. RefSeq lists it as uncharacterized. The transcript is spliced from 2 exons. NCBI's taxonomy places the organism in Eukaryota, Metazoa, Chordata, Actinopteri, Anguilliformes, Anguillidae. The record is from RefSeq and is a predicted model, not a curated record.
UGCUCAUUAUAACCCUCUGUACAGGACUAUGACAGGUACUGUACUCAUUAUAACACUCUGUACAUGACUAUUACAGGUACUGUACUCAUUAUAGCAUUCUGUACAGGACUAUGACAGGUGCUUUACUCAUUAUAACGCACUGUACAGGACUAUGACAGGUACUUUACACAUUAUAACACACUACAGGACUAUGACAGGUACUUUACACAUUAUAACACACUGCAGGACUAUGACAGGUACUUUACACAUUA